GCAAAACGCGAAGAACCUUACCUACCCUUGACAUGUCUGGAAGCUUCGAGGGAUUGAAGUGUGCUCGCAAGAGAACUGGAACACAGGUGCUGCAUGGCUGUCGUCAGCUCGUGUCGUGAGAUGUUGGGUUAAGUCCCGCAACGAGCGCAACCCUUGUCAUUAGUUGCUACGAAAGGGCACUCUAAUGAGACUGCCGGUGACAAACCGGAGGAAGGUGGGGAUGACGUCAAGUCCUCAUGGCCCUUAUGGCCAGGGCUUCACACGUAAUACAAUGGUCGGUACAGAGGGUUGCCAACCCGCGAGGGGGAGCUAAUCUCAGAAAGCCGAUCGUAGUCCGGAUUGCAGUCUGCAGCUCGACUGCGUGAAGUCGGAAUCGCUAGUAAUCGUGGAUCAGAAUGUCACGGUGAAUACGUUCCCGGGUCUUGUACACACCG
This 434-nucleotide ribosomal RNA is filed under the name uncultured bacterium. RNAcentral's name for it is "bacterial SSU rRNA". It matches the Rfam family "Bacterial small subunit ribosomal RNA", at positions 954 to 1392 of the family's 1533-position model. The record is from RNAcentral.